Molecule: transfer RNA, 71 nt
Filed under: Actinomycetota bacterium
Lineage: Bacteria; Bacillati; Actinomycetota
Description: tRNA-Ala
Rfam family: tRNA
About the family: Transfer RNA (tRNA) molecules are approximately 80 nucleotides in length.
Source: RNAcentral
GGGGUUGUCUCAGCAGGCCUGAGCGCCCGCCUUGCAAGCGGGCUGUCGGGGUUCGAGUCCCCGCAUCUCCA